AGAGGGAAGAAUCAACUCCCCAUCAUGGAAAAUAAAAUGUUCAGCUGGGCAAUAAUGAAGCAAAUGAGUAAUGCCCAGAAGACACUACAGAGAAUGUCUACUGGGGACUACAAACAGCCAUCAGUAUGGUGGAUUUGCAGAAGAAACUGCCCUAAGCUGUGUGUUAAAGGUGGAUGGGAAACCGGAGGAGGGCAUGGAAGGACAGGCCAGCUUCAGAGAAGGAUUUUCCCUCUUGCCCAGGAAACCCUUGGAAAUGGAUCCGCCCUCUAGCGGUUAACAAGGGAGCUGAGGAAUAAUGGGAUUUGACAUCAUUGGAAAGCACAGCCACACCCAAAAACAGGUGUGUGCACAAGAAUUUCUGAACACAGAUUUUACCAGCUACACCCACACCCUCAAUUCUACUUGAAAUUAAUCUUAAAGAAAUUUUGAAUUUGCUGAUAAUUUGAGAUCAGUAAAGAUUUUCCCUGAAAGUUCUAAGGAAAUGCUUUAUACAUAGAUUUGUCCACCCAUGCUCAAAGAAAACCCAGAAUAAAAACCUGAAUAUAAAGCAGAUGGAUUACCAAACAUGACUGAACACAGCGAGGAAUUCAUCUUCAUUUUACUUUGGCAAUAAACGUUUCUGAUUUAGAGGACUUCGCUUGGGGUUUUGGAUUGGAUUCCAGAGGUUGGCACCUACGCUCUAAAAAAUCUAAACAGAAGGAGAAAAUAAAUCACCAACUGGCACUUUAAAGACAAAGAUUUAUACCAGAUUUAAUAAACUUCCUGUCUUGCUGAGCAUGAGGAAAAUGUCGUGUUUACCCCGAUGCUCUCUGCUCCUGGCAGCGUGUGUGCUGAGUUGGAAGGGCUGCAGAAGUGGGUCACGCUCACCCAACUGGAACUCGAAAGACUCAUAGAGAGCAAGCACUGGACAAUGGCCUGGUGUCCAUGAUGUAUCCCUGCCUGUCGUUACUAAUCCUACUCAGGGCCAAGCUGGAG
Molecule: long non-coding RNA, 975 nt
Filed under: Homo sapiens (human)
Lineage: Eukaryota; Metazoa; Chordata; Mammalia; Primates; Hominidae
Description: HSALNT0400030
Source: RNAcentral